GAGAGCAGCACUCUGGAUGAGUGGCAGCCUUCCUUCAUCAGAACAGAAGCCACAGAAACGCUCCUCAUCUCUGCUGCUGCUGCACAGGGCAGAAAAUCAUCUCAGCUGAGUUUGGACAGAACGUCACUCUGACAUGUCGAGCUCCAGACAACAACAUCUUAGUUGUAGAGUGGAGCAGAGCUGACCUGACGCCAGAGUAUGUCCUUUUGUACCGGGAUGAGCAGUCUGAUCCAGAGGAGCAGCAUCCAUCCUUUAAGAACCGGGUGGAUCUGCAGGGCAGACAGAUGAAGGACGGAGACGUGUCUGUGAUCCUGAAGAACGUGACAAUUAAUGAUGACGGAACAUAUGAGUGUUGUGUUGCCCAGAGAAACAGUGAACCUUUGAACCCCAUCUGCAGCAUCACCCUGAGAGUUGUUGUUCCUCCAGGUCCAGGAGCAGGAACCACAGAGGGUGGAGUCAGCAGAGGACAUCCUGGACUGAUAGCGAGUCACUUUUUGUGCUUCUUGUUGUUGCUGUUGUCAUUUUUGUGAUCUAUAGAAACAAAGAACAGAUUGAGGGUGCAGAGCUGCAGCAGGGUGAAAGGUCUCAGGUUUACAGAUGAACUGAGUCUCCUGCUGCUGCUCAGGCUCUCUGUGAUGUCACUGAGGGUGCAGUCAAAGGUCAGCAGCUGCAGAUAUGAAUCAUCUAGAUUUGCUUUUAUUUCACAUUUCUCUCAGUCAUCCUCUUUUUCCUGUCUGUGACUCCAUGAAGCAGCAUUUCAGUGGCACUCCACACAAAACAUUCAGUUUCAGGCUUUUGGAAUUUCAUGAAAAAUGUCUCUUCCAUUGAGUUCAAUAGUUUAUAUUUGUUUCCUCUCAGUAUUCCUGAGUUAAUGCAGGAGACUCAGCUGUUACUCACAGCUAACAUCAUGAUUUCAUUUAGUGUCAUCAGCAGGGAGCAGCAAUGAAGGUCUUCAUCACCAUCAUCUUCAGUCUUUGUGUUAAUAAAGAAUCCCAUGUUU
Molecule: long non-coding RNA, 1000 nt
Organism: Archocentrus centrarchus (flier cichlid)
Lineage: Eukaryota; Metazoa; Chordata; Actinopteri; Cichliformes; Cichlidae
Exons: 3
Source: RefSeq, a predicted model, not a curated record